Molecule: ribosomal RNA, 460 nt
Filed under: uncultured bacterium
Lineage: Bacteria
Description: partial 16S ribosomal RNA
Rfam family: Bacterial small subunit ribosomal RNA
Source: RNAcentral
CCUACGGGAGGCAGCAGUGAGGAAUAUUGGUCAAUGGGCGUAAGCCUGAACCAGCCAAGUCGCGUGGGUGAUGAAGGUUCUAUGGAUCGUAAACCUCUUUUAUAAGGGAAUAAAGUGCGGGACGUGUCCCGUUUUGUAUGUACCUUAUGAAUAAGGAUCGGCUAACUCCUUGCCAGCAGCCGCGGUAAUACGGAGUAUACGAGCGUUAUCCGGAUUUAUUGGGUUUAAAGGGUGCGUAGGCGGCCGUUUAAGUCAGCGGUGAAAGUCUGUGGCUCAACCAUAGAAUUGCCGUUGAAACUGGGAGGCUGGAGUAUGGUUGAGGUAGGCGGAAUGCGUGGUGUAGCGGUGAAAUGCUUAGAUAUCACGCAGAACCCCGAUUGCGAAGGCAGCCUGCUAAGCCAUGACUGACGCUGAUGCACGAAAGCGUGGGGAUCAAACAGGAUUAGAUACCCCUGUAGUC